Transfer RNA from Puccinia triticina 1-1 BBBD Race 1, 75 nucleotides. It matches the Rfam family "tRNA". Rfam says of the family: Transfer RNA (tRNA) molecules are approximately 80 nucleotides in length. Lineage: Eukaryota; Fungi; Basidiomycota; Pucciniomycetes; Pucciniales; Pucciniaceae. The record is from Rfam.
GUGUGUUUAGCUCAGUGGUAUGAGAGCAGCUUUCAUGAACGUAGAAGGUCGUGGGUUCAAAUCCCACAACACACA